GGCAGAAAUGCCAGAUGAAUACACUUGUCUCUAGGAUGCAGGCAGCGCCUAGGCCUAGCUCAGAAGGUGCUUUCUGCCCCUUAGAAAUUUGCUUUCAAGCCCAUUAGGAGGGAGGGGGGGAGCCCUGAGUGCAUCCAUGUGGGCCUGCGUUCAGUUUAGGGAGCGCUAGCAUUCCUCCUAAGGUGAACGCUGCAGAGCGGAAAGGGAAACAGAGCUGGCAUUUUGAACGCGGAGGAAGCUCUUCGUACAGAAAGCAAAAAAGAAAAUCCAAAACAGCCUUGACCAAAGAUUACCAGCAGUUAAUCUGGUACCGCGACCAGCUGCAAGGCUUCCGAAAAAAAAAAAAAAAAGAUUUGAGUUCUGAAAAGCUUCGUGCGUGCGUUCAUUAAUAAAUGCUGUUUGCAUAAAUCCAGUGAGGGCCCAAUGGGGCACCUCUCCCUUUGGAAGUUGAAGGCCCAGAUCCUGUGAAUGCAUGUGCGGCCUCGCUCAACUCAUGGGACUUCUCGCAUGUGCAUCAGUGUUUGCAGGACUAGGCCUGAUUUUGCAAACUCAACCAUAAUUUGGGUUUUUGAAUGGAAUGGCAUGCGCACCCCGGCACCUGACAUGCCAAAAAUCGAUGGUUAUGUGACGUAAGAAAAUGCCUGCUUGUAGAAGUCUGGAAUUAAGAAGUUGAGUUGAACAGAAAUAUAAUAGGUUUUUAUAUGAAAUGGGACGAAAAAAAAGAACAUUGCCUGUGUUUAAUAAUGUUUUUAGCAUUUAACUGGUGUACAUUAAAUUUUGCUAUUCUUGUCUUAUU
Alligator sinensis (Chinese alligator) is the source of this 796-nucleotide long non-coding RNA. RefSeq lists it as uncharacterized. The transcript is spliced from 2 exons. NCBI's taxonomy places the organism in Eukaryota, Metazoa, Chordata, Crocodylia, Alligatoridae. The record is from RefSeq and is a predicted model, not a curated record.